Molecule: ribosomal RNA, 1057 nt
Filed under: uncultured soil bacterium
Lineage: Bacteria
Description: bacterial SSU rRNA
Rfam family: Bacterial small subunit ribosomal RNA
Source: RNAcentral
UCCUACGGGAGGCAGCAGUAGGGAAUAUUGCGCAAUGGAGGAAACUCUGACGCAGCGACGCCGCGUGGGCGAUGAAGGCUUUCGGGUCGUAAAGCCCUGUCGGAAGGGAAGAAAAACGAAAUGGCUMAUAUCCAUUUCGAUUGACGGUACCUUAGAAGGAAGCACCGGCUAACUACGUGCCAGCAGCCGCGGUAAUACGUAGGGUGCUAACGUUGUUCGGAAUCAUUGGGCGUAAAGCGCGUGUAGGUGGUUACACAAGUUGGGUGUGAAAUCCCUGGGCUUAACCGAGGAAGUGCACCCAAAACUAGGUAGCUAGAGGACGGUAGAGGAAGGUGGAAUUCCAAGUGUAGAGGUGAAAUUCGUAGAUAUUUGGAGGAAUACCUGUGGCGAAGGCGGCCUUCUGGGCCGUUCCUGACACUGAGACGCGAAAGCGUGGGGAGCAAACAGGAUUAGAUACCCUGGUAGUCCACGCCGUAAACGAUGAACACUAGGUGUUGUGGGUAUUGACCCCUACAGUGCCGCCGCUAACGCAUUAAGUGUUCCGCCUGGGAAGUACGGCCGCAAGGUUAAAACUCAAAGGAAUUGACGGGCCCGCAAAGCGGUGGAGCAUGUGGUUUAAUUCGAUGCAACGCGAACCUUACCUGGGCUUAACAUCCCCGGACAACCGUGGAGACACGGCUUUGACUUCGGUCACCGGGAGAUAGGUGCUGCAUGGCUGUCGUCAGCUCGUAUCGUGAGAUGUCGGGUUAAGUCCCUUAACGAGCGCAACCCUUGUCCUUAGUUGCCAUCAUUCAGUUGGGUACUCUAGGGAGACCGCCGGUGUUAAACCGGAGGAAGGUGGGGAUGACGUCAAGUCCUCAUGGCCCUUAUGUCCAGGGCUACACACGUGCUACAAUGGCCGGUACAGAUGGUUGCCAACCCGCGAGGGGGAGCUAAUCCAACAAAACCGGUCUCAGUCCGGAUUGGAGUCUGCAAUUCGACUCCAUGAAGCUGGAAUCGCUAGUAAUCGCAGAUCAGAAGGCUGCGGUGAAUACGUUCCCGGGCCUUGUACMCMCCG